This 497-nucleotide ribosomal RNA is filed under the name uncultured bacterium. RNAcentral's name for it is "partial 16S ribosomal RNA". It matches the Rfam family "Bacterial small subunit ribosomal RNA", at positions 28 to 507 of the family's 1533-position model. The record is from RNAcentral.
GAUGAACGCUGGCGGCGUGCCUAAUACAUGCAAGUCGAGCGAACAGACGAGGAGCUUGCUCCUCUGACGUUAGCGGCGGACGGGUGAUUAACACGUGGAUAACCUACCUAUAAGACUGGGAUAACUUCGGGAAACCGGAGCUAAUACCGGAUAAUAUAUUGAACCGCAUGGUUCAAUAGUGAAAGACGGUUUUGCUGUCACUUAUAGAUGGAUCCUCGCCGCAUUAGCUAGUUGGUAAGGUAACGGCUUACCAAGGCAACGAUGCGUAGCCGACCUGAGAGGGUGAUCGGCCACACUGGAACUGAGACACGGUCCAGACUCCUCCGGGAGGCAGCAGUAGGGAAUCUUGCGCAAUGGGCGAAAGCCUGCCGGAGCAACGCCGCGUGAGUGAUGAAGGUCUUCGGAUCGUAAAACUCUGUUAUUAGGGAAGAACAAAUGUGUAAGUAACUAUGCACGUCUUGACGGUACCUAAUCAGAAAGCCACGGCUAACUACGUG